CUUANGUUNUUCGCCCACGGGUGCGUAACGCGUAUGCAACCUACCUUAAACUGGGGNAUAGCCUUCCGAAAGGGAGAUUAAUACCGCAUAAUACUAUUUGAGGGCAUCUGAGGAUAGUUAAAGAUUUAUUGGUUUGAGAUGGGCAUGCGUGCCAUUAGCUAGUUGGUAGGGUAACGGCCUACCAAGGCGACGAUGGCUAGGGGUUCUGAGAGGAUGAUCCCCCACACUGGCACUGAGAUACGGGCCAGACUCCUACGGGAGGCAGCAGUAGGGAAUAUUGGGCAAUGGGCGAAAGCCUGACCCAGCCAUGCCGCGUGCAGGAAGAAGGCCUUCUGGGUUGUAAACUGCUUUUAUCUGGGAAGAAAAAGCCCCUGCGGGGGAAACUGACGGUACCAGAGGAAUAAGCACCGGCUAACUCCGUGCCAGCAGCCGCGGUAAUACGGANGGUGCAGCGUUGUCCGGAUUUAUUGGGUUUAAGGGUGCGUAGGCGGCCCGGUAAGUCAGUGGUGANCCUCCAGCUCAACUGGAGAACUGCCAUUUGAUACUGCCNGGCUUGANUACAGACCAAGUUGGCGGAAUUGAUAGUGUACCGUUGAAUGC
This 600-nucleotide ribosomal RNA is filed under the name uncultured Marivirga sp. Its description in RNAcentral is "bacterial SSU rRNA". It matches the Rfam family "Bacterial small subunit ribosomal RNA", at positions 86 to 689 of the family's 1533-position model. The record is from RNAcentral. Lineage: Bacteria; Pseudomonadati; Bacteroidota; Cytophagia; Cytophagales; Marivirgaceae.